UACGGAGGGUGCGAGCGUUAAUCGGAAUUACUGGGCGUAAAGGGUGCGUAGGUGGAUUGAUAAGUUAUCUGUGAAAGCCCUGGGCUUAACCUGGGAAGGCCAGAUAAGACUGUUGAGCUAGAGUAUGGGAGAGGGUAGUGGAAUUUCCGGUGUAGCGGUGAAAUGCGUAGAGAUCGGAAGGAACACCAGUGGCGAAGGCGGCUACCUGGCCCGAUACUGACACUGAGGCACGAAAGCGUGGGGAGCAAACAGG
This 253-nucleotide ribosomal RNA is filed under the name uncultured bacterium. RNAcentral's name for it is "partial 16S ribosomal RNA". It matches the Rfam family "Bacterial small subunit ribosomal RNA", at positions 524 to 776 of the family's 1533-position model. The record is from RNAcentral.